RNAcentral lists this transfer RNA (71 nucleotides) under Camelus bactrianus (Bactrian camel). It matches the Rfam family "tRNA". Rfam says of the family: Transfer RNA (tRNA) molecules are approximately 80 nucleotides in length. Lineage: Eukaryota; Metazoa; Chordata; Mammalia; Artiodactyla; Camelidae. RNAcentral also lists the same sequence under 2 other names. The record is from Rfam by way of RNAcentral.
GAGGGUAUAGCUUAGUGGUAAAGCAUGUACUGGCCUGCACAAGGUCCUGGGUUCAAGCCCCAGAGCCUCCA